GGCGCAUCCGUUCUUGGAAGACCAGGAGACCAGGGCAUUGCAGCGCCUCACAGUCCAGGGCAAAAUAACAUACCAGAUAUAAAAUGAAGGACUUCGACGAGUUAAUGACCUUGGUUGGGAGUCACGGACCUUACCAACGGUGGCUUGUGUUUGGGGUCGUCGGACCCAUCAGUUUCUUCAUUGGCUUCACGGGCAACCUCUUGUUGUUUCAGCUGAAAGUGCCAGACUACUGGCGCCACGUCCCAGGCAUUGAAAAUACUUCUCUCUUACCAGAAGAAUGGAAAAACCUUACUAU
This is a long non-coding RNA of Penaeus indicus, 295 nucleotides long. RefSeq lists it as uncharacterized. The record is from RefSeq and is a predicted model, not a curated record. The transcript is spliced from 3 exons. Lineage: Eukaryota; Metazoa; Arthropoda; Malacostraca; Decapoda; Penaeidae.